Molecule: ribosomal RNA, 444 nt
Filed under: uncultured bacterium
Lineage: Bacteria
Description: SSU rRNA
Rfam family: Bacterial small subunit ribosomal RNA
Source: RNAcentral
AGAGCGAACGCUGGCGGCAGGCCUAACACAUGCAAGUCGAGCGCCCCGCAAGGGGAGCGGCAGACGGGAGAGUAACACGUGGGAACGUACCCUUCAGUUCGGAACAACCCAGGGAAACUUGGGCUAAUACCGAAUACGUCCGUAAGGAGAAAGAUUUAUCGCUGAAGGAUCGGCCCGCGUCUGAUUAGCUAGUUGGUGAGGUAACGGCUCACCAAGGCUACGAUCAGUAGCUGGUCUGAGAGGAUGAUCAGCCUCACUGGGACUGAGACACGGCCCAGACUCCUACGGGAGGCAGCAGUGGGGAAUAUUGGACAAUGGGCGCAAGCCUGAUCCAGCCAUGCCGCGUGGAUGAUGAAGGCCUUAGGGUUGUAAAGUCCUUUCGACGGGGAAGAUAAUGACGGUACCCGUAGAAGAACGCCCGGCUAACUUCGUGCCAGCAGCCGC